GCCCAGGUCUUGCGCAAGGCGGCCUCGUGAAUCUCGUCAGGUCCGGAAGGAAGCAGCGAUAAGCGAUCAGCCGUUUGUGCCGCGAGGUAGCCGGGGGGCU
RNAcentral lists this signal recognition particle RNA (100 nucleotides) under Selenomonadaceae bacterium. RNAcentral's name for it is "signal recognition particle sRNA small type". It matches the Rfam family "Bacterial small signal recognition particle RNA". Rfam says of the family: The signal recognition particle (SRP) is a universally conserved ribonucleoprotein involved in the co-translational targeting of proteins to membranes. Archaeal SRP consists of a 7S RNA and homologues of the eukaryotic SRP19 and SRP54 proteins. The record is from RNAcentral. Lineage: Bacteria; Bacillati; Bacillota; Negativicutes; Selenomonadales; Selenomonadaceae.